This 270-nucleotide ribosomal RNA is filed under the name uncultured archaeon. RNAcentral describes it as "partial 16S ribosomal RNA". It matches the Rfam family "Archaeal small subunit ribosomal RNA", at positions 477 to 747 of the family's 1478-position model. The record is from RNAcentral.
CUGCAGCUCAAGUGGUGACCGCUAUUAUUGGGCCUAAAACGUUCGUAGCCUGUCUUAUAAAUGCCUGGGUAAAUCGUGCCGCUUAACGGUACGAAUUCCGGGUAGACUGUAAGACUUGAGACCGGGUGAGGCUAGAGGUACUCCUGGGGUAGAGGUGAAAUUCUGUAAUCCUAGGGGGACCACCAGUGGCGAAGGCGUCUAGCUAGAACGGGUCUGACGGUGAGGAACGAAGCCCUGGGGCGCAAACCGGAUUAGAUACCCGAGUAGUCC